This 253-nucleotide ribosomal RNA is filed under the name uncultured bacterium. RNAcentral's name for it is "partial 16S ribosomal RNA". It matches the Rfam family "Bacterial small subunit ribosomal RNA", at positions 524 to 776 of the family's 1533-position model. The record is from RNAcentral.
UACGUAGGGGGCAAGCGUUGUCCGGAUUUAUUGGGCGUAAAGAGCGUGUAGGCGGCCAGGUAGGUCCGUUGUGAAAACUCGAGGCUCAACCUCGAGACGCCGAUGGAAAACCCCUGGCUAGAGUCCGGAAGAGGAGAGUGGAAUUCCUGGUGUAGCGGUGAAAUGCGCAGAUAUCAGGAAGAACACCCGUGGCGAAGGCGGCUCUCUAGUACGGUACUGACGCUGAGACGCGAAAGCGUGGGGAGCGAACAGG